Mus musculus (house mouse) is the source of this 875-nucleotide long non-coding RNA. RefSeq annotates it as predicted gene, 35180. NCBI's taxonomy places the organism in Eukaryota, Metazoa, Chordata, Mammalia, Rodentia, Muridae. The record is from RefSeq and is a predicted model, not a curated record. The transcript is spliced from 6 exons.
CUGAUCUCAGAGCAUCUUGACUUAAAGACAUCUGCUUCCAGCAUCAAGGGGGGCUGGUCCAGCUGGAGCUGAGAAACCAGCUCUGACAAAGAUGAGACGAGCAUCAGUGGGAAACGUUCCCUCAAGGUCAACACAACAUAAGCUACAGGAGCAAAGCUGUGUGCUGAACUGGCAGAUUGUCAACGUCUCCCAAGGAGUCCUUACUUUAAUGAUAUGAAGGGAUUAUGGAGAGCAGGAGCCUGUGAGUCAGCUAGACUUCUAGAACCAGCAACUUGCCUUUUCCUGCUAACUGGGCACCGACUUUGGUCUAGUUUUCACAGCAUUUUUUUUAAAGCUGUCCCAGGAUGAAGACCCAACACUAUUACUAAGUCUAGGGAGUGCUCACAAAAAGGGACCUAGCAUGACUGCCCUCCGAAAGACCCAACAAGCAGCUGAAAGAGUCAGAUGCAGAUAUUUGCACUCAACCAAUGAACACAAGCAGCUGACCCCUGGUGUUGAAUUCGGGAAGGCUGAAAGAAGCUGAGGAGAAAAGAUCUCUUAAUGAACUUAAAACUUGCUAAUGUAGUAGGCUGCCAGGCCAGCAAGACCCACAGAUACUCUGUUUCUGAAUCUCAAGUACUGAGAUUAACUGAUCCCAGCUUUGUUGUGAAGAUGUAUCUUAGAGUUGAUGAUCUAAUGUCUCAACAUCUGCAUUGAUCCAGUCAACCUUGCCGCUGCUAUUGUCAUGUUUGACACAACAUUCUGUGUGUUUCUCCAUGUGUAUGCUAAAUGUCUGAAGCUGCACUUCAUUGUGGUUUUGAUGUAGGAGGUACAGUGAUGUUGCGUACCCAAAUCAUACAACUGGGGGCAUUUGAAGAUUUUUCUUGAGAAAUAUU